Scatophagus argus is the source of this 1454-nucleotide long non-coding RNA. RefSeq lists it as uncharacterized. The transcript has 2 exons. NCBI's taxonomy places the organism in Eukaryota, Metazoa, Chordata, Actinopteri, Scatophagidae. The record is from RefSeq and is a predicted model, not a curated record.
UGGACAGGCUGCUGAAGUCUUCUGGAGUCUUCUGGAGAAGAGUGGGUCCUCAGGAGUGAAGAUGCUGCUGGCUGAAUGGACGUGGAGACUCUCUGGUUUCUGACACCACGACUCUUGCUGAAAAAAAUUGGGACAGAGGAGGAGACUGACUGGAAGAGAAACGGUUAAACAUGCUUCAUACAUGAGGGGAAAUUUCAGAAUCAUACAUUACAUGUGGGCCACUCCUACCAUGUGAUGGACUUGUUCUAUUGAUAGAUCUCAAGAUCUUGAACUCUCAAGGAAAAAAUCUGACACAGCAUUCAUGGAAUUUUGAUAUGAGCUAAUUUUCUGUGAUCCUUUGUUAUUUCAGCAUUUAUCAUAUACAAUAUUUGUAUUGUAUUAAAUAAUUGUAUUCCUCUUCUUCUUCUUCUCACUAUUAUUAUUGUUAUUGUUGUUGUAAUUUUUCCAUUUUAUUUUUCAUUGUUAGUUAAGUGAUUGUAGUAGUAGUAUUACUAGUAGCAGUACAGCUACACAUAUCAGUCCCAUAUACAGUACACUACAAUAACAUAACCUUAAUACACUAAAGUACAGAUAUGGACCUUAUAAUAGAUAUUUCAGUGCGAGAUUAGCAUUUAAAAUUUUGUCAGGAGCACCAAAUGUAUGCUAUGUACUGUGUAUAAUUCAGUGCGUUCACAAUAGCAGAGGAAACAGUGGUACUCAGAUGGAAAUGAUAUUAAGUUGUGGUUUGAGUUUGGUGACGCUGUGGAGUCCUGCUGUAUGUCAUACAUGCGUAACAUGACUGACAAUGACAAGACAAGAGUGAAGACAGGUGACAUGAACUCAACCUUGAUGUCUUGAGUUGAUGUCACAGGUCUCCAACCACCUUUUUACCGCUUUUGGAGACCUUGUAUUCUUUCUCUUGGAUGAUGUUAGCACAUGUGUGGGGGAAAAAAUUAUUUGGAAGCAGAAACCACAUAGAAGAAGUAGUUGGGACCAAGUGGUAGCGUAAGGCGUGUUUUCCCUUCAGUACUUUUUCUGUUUUGUCCUCUUAUCCAGAACUUAAUGUCUCUGUGUGUGUUUGGAUUAUCUUAGCCCAUACGGGCAACAGUGUUGGGCAACACUGGUAUUUUGAAAACUGUUGCAGAAAAAUCAUUCCAAGUCGCUCCAGGAUGAAGACUUCACAAUCUGUACAAACAAAUGUCAGGAUGACUUGUAUAGUUCAUGACUAAGUUCAUUAACCGGAUGCAAAUUUGGAUAACAGUGUAGAAAUCAAAUAGAUAAUAUGGAAGAACAGGCUUACUAAAAAGGUUUAGAGUUUGAGUUUGAAUUUUGAUAAUAUGGAAGAUUUUAAGUACCGAAAUUAAAGGAAGUCAAGCAAAGAAAUGAAGUGAAAAUGCAAUGUAUUUUGUAAUGUGUGUAUCCUUUGGUCUAUGCAUUUAGUGUGCAAAAAUGUAUAUUAAAAGGACAAUUCUGUA